Molecule: long non-coding RNA, 455 nt
Organism: Ornithodoros turicata
Lineage: Eukaryota; Metazoa; Arthropoda; Arachnida; Ixodida; Argasidae
Exons: 3
Source: RefSeq, a predicted model, not a curated record
AUGCCAGGCAGGAGUUGCAAGGCACCUCACAGAACUCAAAAAUGUGCCUGUGGCUGACAGUGCUGGUACAGACACAGAAGCAUCAGAGUGUGGACUCAGUUGAGAUGAUGAAGACGGGCAACUACAGGAUGCGCUUUCACAUGACAAGGCAAUUGCAUCGGAUAUCUCCAUGGCUGAUAUUCUCCGACUUGAAGAAGAAAUCCGAAGGUUAAACCACGAGGUCUACAAGCUGAAGGCACAUAUGGCACAUACGAGAAAUGACACAAGCGUAUUUUCAGAAUGACUCUUCUGCAGUGAAGUUUUACUCUGGACUUCCCAACUAUGCAAUGUUGCUUACAGUUUUCGAUUUGGUUGAGAACCAUGUCCACCAUACAUCUUGCAAUUCUUUGACGAAAUUUCAGGAGAUAAUGUUAACUUUGGUUCGGCUUUGUUUAAACGUGCCUCUUCAAGAUCUC